CUACAAAGUCAAAAUGGGCACUUAUUUCUGCAUGCCAGUGAGAACGUUUCAAACAGGCCUGAUAUCAGCCUGUUUUGUUUGCUUUCCGAGUUGCUGAUACGCACCUUUUCCACCCUGAAAGUCCUGGCAUGCAGUGUGACUUAAUUACAUGAGGUCAGCAUAAUAGAAACGGAAGAGGUAGAAGGUGGAGUCCUCUGAAUACACAACUGCCCUGCUGGUUCCUGAGAAGUCCAAGGCCCUCAGUGAAAUAAAAUGGGUGGAUUCAACACAUCUCAGAGCAGGCAGCACAGACACACUGCACUACUUGGAUUAGUGUAAAGCUAGCCAUCUCUCCAAAUGAGAAAGAAUUAAAUGCCCA
Long non-coding RNA from Alligator sinensis (Chinese alligator), 358 nucleotides. RefSeq lists it as uncharacterized. The transcript is spliced from 3 exons. The record is from RefSeq and is a predicted model, not a curated record. Lineage: Eukaryota; Metazoa; Chordata; Crocodylia; Alligatoridae.